GCCAGUGUGGCAUAGCGGUUUGAGUGCUGGGCUACAGCUCUGGAGACCAGGUUCAAUUCCCAGCUCGGCCA
Phrynosoma platyrhinos (Desert horned lizard) is the source of this 71-nucleotide non-coding RNA. NCBI's taxonomy places the organism in Eukaryota, Metazoa, Chordata, Lepidosauria, Squamata, Phrynosomatidae. The record is from the annotation of a GenBank genome assembly.